RNAcentral lists this ribosomal RNA (254 nucleotides) under uncultured bacterium. RNAcentral's name for it is "partial 16S ribosomal RNA". It matches the Rfam family "Bacterial small subunit ribosomal RNA", at positions 524 to 776 of the family's 1533-position model. The record is from RNAcentral.
UACGUAGGGGGCGAGCGUUGUCCGGAUUUAUUGGGCGUAAAAGGCUUGUAGGUGGCCACGGCAAGUCGGAUGUGAAAUCUCCCGGCUCAACUGGGAGGGGUCAUUCGAUACUGCCGGGCUCGAGGCCGGUAGGGGGAAGCGGAAUUCCCGGUGUAGUGGUGGAAUGCGUAGAUAUCGGGAGGAACACCAGAGGCGAAGGCGGGUUACUGGGCUGAUACUGACGCUGAUGCGCGAAAGCUAGGGGAGCAAACGGG